This 372-nucleotide ribosomal RNA is filed under the name uncultured organism. RNAcentral's name for it is "bacterial SSU rRNA". It matches the Rfam family "Bacterial small subunit ribosomal RNA", at positions 527 to 896 of the family's 1533-position model. The record is from RNAcentral.
CGGGGGAGCAAGCGUUGUUCGGAUUUGCUGGGCGUAAAGGGCGCGUAGGCGGCGCAACAAGUCACUUGUGAAAUCUCCGGGCUUAACCCGGAGCGGCCAAGUGAUACUGUCGUGCUAGAGUGCGGAAGGGGCUACUGGAAUUCUCGGUGUAGCGGUGAAAUGCGUAGAUAUCGAGAGGAACACCUGCGGCGAAGGCGGGUAGCUGGGCCGACACUGACGCUGAGGCGCGAAAGCCAGGGGAGCGAACGGGAUUAGAUACCCCGGUAGUCCUGGCCUUAAACGAUGGAUACUUGGUGUCCGGGGUUACAUAGUCCCCGGGUGCCGGCGCUAACGCAUUAAGUAUCCCGCCUGGGGAGUACGGUCGCAAGACUG